UAAAGCUACUUCUGUACUUUAAAAAAGCUACUGUUAUAGUUUAGAAAGUCUACUGCAAUAGUUCUAUAAAGCUACUUCUAUGGUUUUGCCAUUCUCGAUUAGCACGCAACUUUAUUUCAAAUAUUUCUUGGUUAGCCGAAUGAUCUCUUGGUUAAGAGAGGCUUCAAUAUCCAAAUUCACAUGAGAUUUCUGCAAGAACAAAUGCACAACAAAAUAUUAAUAUUUGAAAUGAAAACUAGAAACAACAAUGAAAGUAAAAGUUACUCAUAUCAUGAUGAAAAGAUACUAAUAUAGGCAUAGAAAAAUACUAUCAGUAUUUUGAAAAGACACUACUAUACAAUGAGAAAACUACAAACACAGAACAUGUCAUAAAACAACACUGUAUUUCUCUAGCUUAUUUUCCUACAUGAUCACCAAAUUUAUGAAUACAAAACCACUCACAAGUACUAAUUAAGUAGCUCACUAUUGUCUUCCAUGAACUCCAAAAACUAUUCAAUAUAGACAUUUUAUAUAUACAGAAUCAUUUCCAAAUCAUCUAUUAUACUGAUCUAGUAAUCUUGUUCCUUCAUUGAACACUAAUUCCACCAGUAUCACACCAUCACACUUAAAUUACCCCAUCACAAUAUUAGUAUAUAUUAUGCCCAGACGUCAUCACACAAUUAUCAUCCACAAGGUACCUGAAUACUUCAAAUAGAACAAUCAAACCUAAACAAAUUUCAAUUCAAACGUAAACAAAUUUUAAAUCUGAGUAUGAACCAAAAACAAAUCCAAACAGGAAAAUUUUUCCACAGCAACAAGCCAAAAUUAAUCUCCAUCAAUCAAGCAAUUGAAUCAGCAACAUGCAAAAGUCAAAACUAGUGGAUUUGAAAGCUUCCAAAUUACAUAUUAAACCAGAAAUUAAACAAGAACAAAAUCGGCAUAAUCAAUCAAACUAGUAGAAUAAUCAGAAAUUAAAAGGAAGAAAAUAACAUUGAACCUAAAUUGAAGUAGCUCACACCUCAUUGUCUUCCCCGAAAUUGAGCAUAGAGUGAAGCGAUCUGAACAUCGACGUCAUCCGAGUCGAUCAUUCCGAUGACGAGCGGCAAAACGACGUCGAGCAUCACAAGCGUCUCCAGAGGUCGUCUCUCGAACUCUUAGAUCACUGUUUUGCAGCCAAAGGUUGACGAUUCUUUGGCGUCGACGAGCGUUAUGCAAUCGAGGACCAGCAGUCUCCGUCCAGAUCUAGACGUCGGCGAUCUUCUUCGAUCGGAGAAAUCUGAGGCGGCAUGUUCAAAGCAACAUCGUCGAAGCGGUGGCUUGGUGAUCGAAGAAUAGAGAGAGAGAGAGAGAGAGAGAGAGAGAGAGAGAGAGA
RNAcentral lists this long non-coding RNA (1351 nucleotides) under Fragaria vesca (wild strawberry). RNAcentral describes it as "long non-coding RNA (FVES_LNC003489)". Lineage: Eukaryota; Viridiplantae; Streptophyta; Magnoliopsida; Rosales; Rosaceae. The record is from RNAcentral.